AAAGAAACUAACAAGGAUUCCCCUAGUAACGGCGAGUGAAGAGGGAAGAGCUCAAAUUUUAAAUUCUUGGGCUCGCGGCCGGUAGAAGUUCUUUGGAACAGGACAUCAUAGAGGGUGACAAUCCCGUCCGUGACCGGUCGUGCGUUCAUCUACGAUACGCUUUCAAAGAGUCGAGUUGUUUGGGAUUGCAGCUCCAAACGGGUGGUAAACAUCACCUAAGGCUAAAUAUUGGCGAGAGACCGAUAGCGAACAAGUACCGUGAGGGAAAGAUGAAAAGAACUUUGAAAAGAGAGUUAAACAGUACGUGAAAUUGUUGAAAGGGAAACGAUUGAAGUCAGUCGUGCUGGCGCGAAAUCAACCCUCUCGUCUUGAGAUCACAUGGCGCGACGAGCCUCAAAACCGUCACGAAGCGUGAACUCUUGACGAAAAGGUGCACUUUCGUGUCCGCUGGUUAACAUCAAUUUCGAACGUCAUAAAAAGGCUGGAGGGAUGUGGCUCCUUCGGGAGUGUUAUAACCUUUAGCGGAAUGUGGCGUUCGGGAUUGAGGAUUGCAACGAAUACCUUCAGGGCUGUUCCACCUGGCUUCUCAUUGGUAUCCUGGUGACGACAGCUUGCUGACGUCGUUAGGAUCAGCUUCUGAACAGGCUAGAGUGUGAGCAAAUUCGUUAAGGAUGUUAACGUAAUGGCUUAAAC
RNAcentral lists this ribosomal RNA (693 nucleotides) under Entrophospora etunicata. Its description in RNAcentral is "eukaryotic LSU rRNA". It matches the Rfam family "Eukaryotic large subunit ribosomal RNA", at positions 58 to 644 of the family's 3401-position model. Lineage: Eukaryota; Fungi; Glomeromycota; Glomeromycetes; Entrophosporales; Entrophosporaceae. The record is from RNAcentral.